This is a long non-coding RNA of Felis catus (domestic cat), 844 nucleotides long. RefSeq lists it as uncharacterized. The transcript has 3 exons. The record is from RefSeq and is a predicted model, not a curated record. Lineage: Eukaryota; Metazoa; Chordata; Mammalia; Carnivora; Felidae.
AGGGAAAUAAGAAUGUCCUGGAAUCAGAUCCUGAUGAUGGCUGCACAACCUUGUGGACCUACUAAAAACCACUGAGUUGUAGAGUCGAAAAGGGCUUAAUAGUUUAGAAAACAUCCUAGAAAAAUGGAGUCCGGAAGUCAAGCGAUUCCGCCCCGACAUGCCCAUCGUCCCGCUUGCGAACAAGAAGCAUCUCCAGAACGAUGAGCGCCCAGGGCAGGAGCUGACCAAGGUGAAGGGGGAGCUGGUAAAGGCCUUUCCUGCCUUCCUUUGGUUUCAUGCUUGAGGCACCCAUACCCAGCCAGCACUCACUCCCCCUUCUGAGGACCCCGCCGUGGUGUCACAGCAUGCAAAAGUCCUCAGUGUGCAGAGCUGUGAGCCCAUUGCAGCAACCGCCCAGCACAGGUUCGUCUCAUCCAGCUGGAAUAUGAAACCAUCUGUCCACGUGAGCAGAGGAAACCCUAGGACCUGGCAUCAGACUGUGAACGUGGUUGAGACUCGGCCCAGCUGUCUGAACUCGCGCAGGUCGCUUCAAUUUCUCAGUCUCACCUUUAAAUCAGGAUAACCGUAGCACCAGCCUCCUGGGAAUGGAUUCAGCGGUGCCCACAAAAUGUCUCACACAGUAUCUAGUAUAGGGGUGAGUGUGCUCAGAGCAGCGAUAUUGCACAUAAAGACAGAAAGAAGCAACUUUCCCCCUUCAUAAAUCCAGAAAGGAGGGAUUUGAAUUUGAAUUUGAGUUCCCCUGGGAUUUCAGGCCCAUCCCUUUGAAUCAGCAGUUCGGAUGCGGUUGCCAUCGUCUUGGUGGCCAUGAAUGGCCGAUGUGGAGGCAUGUCAUAUUUUCAAAUUA